GAAAAUACAAGAGUUUUUGUUAUUGACUUACUGCAUUCUGGCUGGUUGUGCAGGAGGCUCCACUGAUGCUUUUCAAAGAUUUCUGGUUGUCAGUCGUUGGUCCAUUUGCUAAUCAUAGAUUCGGUCAGUUGGUGAUCAGAUCUUUCAUCCCAAACCGUAGCUGAAGAUUUCCCCAGGCGUUUGAGCCGGACCCUUCCUGACGUUUUUCUCCUUGCAGCUUUUCCAGGAGCAUCAGAGAGAAGAAGAGCAGCUAUGAGGCCAAACUCAACRACUUCCUGGAGCUCAGCAACCAGUCGGCGGCUGAGAAGAUGAGUUUGGAGGAUGAAAUCAGGCGCCACCAGGCUCUGCUGACCUCUGCUGGCAGGAGGUCCUACACGGCUCAGAUGUCAGCGGCUGAAAGCAGCA
This is a non-coding RNA of Poecilia reticulata (guppy), 405 nucleotides long. NCBI's taxonomy places the organism in Eukaryota, Metazoa, Chordata, Actinopteri, Cyprinodontiformes, Poeciliidae. The record is from RefSeq and is a predicted model, not a curated record.